RNAcentral lists this ribosomal RNA (446 nucleotides) under uncultured bacterium. RNAcentral's name for it is "bacterial SSU rRNA". It matches the Rfam family "Bacterial small subunit ribosomal RNA", at positions 329 to 792 of the family's 1533-position model. The record is from RNAcentral.
GUCCAGACUCCUACGGGAGGCAGCAGUGGGGAAUAUUGCACAAUGGGGGAAACCCUGAUGCAGCAACGCCGCGUGAGUGAAGAAGUAUUUCGAUAUGUAAAGCUCUAUCAGCAGGGAAGAAGAUGACGGUACCUGAGUAAGAAGCCCCGGCUAACUACGUGCCAGCAGCCGCGGUAAUACGUAGGGGGCAAGCGUUAUCCGGAUUUACUGGGUGUAAAGGGAGCGUAGACGGCAUAGCAAGUCUGAAGUGAAAGCCCAAGGCUCAACCAUGGGACUGCUUUGGAAACUGUACGGCUGGAGUGCAGGAGAGGUAAGUGGAAUUCCUAGUGUAGCGGUGAAAUGCGUAGAUAUUAGGAGGAACACCAGUGGCGAAGGCGGCUUACUGGACUGUAACUGACGUUGAGGCUCGAAAGCGUGGGGAGCAAACAGGAUUAGAUACCCCAGUA